This 253-nucleotide ribosomal RNA is filed under the name uncultured bacterium. RNAcentral's name for it is "partial 16S ribosomal RNA". It matches the Rfam family "Bacterial small subunit ribosomal RNA", at positions 524 to 776 of the family's 1533-position model. The record is from RNAcentral.
UACGUAGGGGGCAAGCGUUGUCCGGAAUCAUUGGGCGUAAAGAGCGCGUAGGCGGUCCGGUAAGUCCGCUCUGAAAGCCCGGGGCUCAACCCCGGGAGGCGGGCGGAUACUGUCGGGCUAGAGUCCGGAAGAGGCGAGUGGAAUUCCUGGUGUAGCGGUGAAAUGCGCAGAUAUCAGGAGGAACACCGAUGGCGAAGGCAGCUCGCUGGGACGGUACUGACGCUGAGAUGCGAAAGCGUGGGGAGCAAACAGG